UACGGAGGGGGCUAGCGUUGUUCGGAAUUACUGGGCGCAAAGCGCACGUAGGCGGCUUUGUAAGUUAGAGGUGAAAGCCCGGGGCUUAACCCCGGAAUAGCCUUUAAGACUGCAUCGCUUGAACACGGGAGAGGUGAGUGGAAUUCCGAGUGUAGAGGUGAAAUUCGUAGAUAUUGGGAAGAACACCGGUGGCGAAGGCGGCUCACUGGCUCAUUACUGACGCUCAGGCGCGACAGCGUGGGGAUCAAACAGG
RNAcentral lists this ribosomal RNA (253 nucleotides) under uncultured bacterium. RNAcentral's name for it is "partial 16S ribosomal RNA". It matches the Rfam family "Bacterial small subunit ribosomal RNA", at positions 524 to 776 of the family's 1533-position model. The record is from RNAcentral.